Molecule: non-coding RNA, 537 nt
Organism: Arvicanthis niloticus (Nile rat)
Lineage: Eukaryota; Metazoa; Chordata; Mammalia; Rodentia; Muridae
Source: the annotation of a RefSeq genome assembly
AUGGGAUGGAACUGGAAUUUUCUCUUCCUCCUUUCAGUAACUGCAGGUGUCUACUCUGAGGUUCAACUGCAGCAGUCUGGAGCUGAGCUGGUGAGGCCUGGGGCUUCAGUGAAGCUGAACUGCAAGGCUUCUGGCUAUGACUUCACCAGUGGGUAUAUGCACUGGGUGAAGCAGAGUCAUGGAACGAGCCUUGAGUGGAUUGGAAGGAUUGAUCCUGACAAUGGUGAUACUAAAUACAAUGAAAAGUUCAAGGGCAAGGCCACAUUGACUGUAGACAGAUCCUCCAGCACAGCCUAUAUGGAGCUUAAAAGACUGACAUCUGAGGACUCUGCAGUCUAUUACUGUGCAAGACACAGUUUAAUGAGUCUCUUCACCUUAGACUCAGGCAGACUCUUCAGAUUAGGACAAAAAUUAGUCACAUUUUUUUUUUCACCAAAAUACCACAAAACAAUCUGUAGGCCACAUGCUAAAAUUAUUCUCAUUGAAAUCUCUUGGGCCAGUAUCAUAAACAUAACUCCACAGUUGUCAAGACUCUAG